AUUGAACGCUGGCGGCAGGCUUAACACAUGCAAGUCGAGCGGGGGAAGGUAGCUUGCUACCGGACCUAGCGGCGGACGGGUGAGUAAUGCUUAGGAAUCUGCCUAUUAGUGGGGGACAACAUCUCGAAAGGGAUGCUAAUACCGCAUACGUCCUACGGGAGAAAGCAGGGGAUCUUCGGACCUUGCGCUAAUAGAUGAGCCUAAGUCGGAUUAGCUAGGUGGUGGGGUAAAGGCCUACCAAGGCGACGAUCUGUAGCGGGUCUGAGAGGAUGAUCCGCCACACGGGGACUGAGACACGGCCCAGACUCCUACGGGAGGCAGCAGUGGGGAAUAUUGGACAAUGGGGGGAACCCUGAUCCAGCCAUGCCGCGUGUGUGAAGAAGGCCUUAUGGUUGUAAAGCACUUUAAGCGAGGAGGAGGCUACUUUAGUUAAUACCUAGAGAUAGUGGACGUUACUCGCAGAAUAAGCACCGGCUAACUCUGUGCCAGCCGCCGCGGUAA
RNAcentral lists this ribosomal RNA (501 nucleotides) under uncultured bacterium. Its description in RNAcentral is "partial 16S ribosomal RNA". It matches the Rfam family "Bacterial small subunit ribosomal RNA", at positions 30 to 523 of the family's 1533-position model. The record is from RNAcentral.